Molecule: ribosomal RNA, 415 nt
Filed under: Sclerocystis sinuosa
Lineage: Eukaryota; Fungi; Glomeromycota; Glomeromycetes; Glomerales; Glomeraceae
Description: partial large subunit ribosomal RNA
Source: RNAcentral
AGAGUUAAACAGUACGUGAAAUUGUUGAAAGGGAAACGAUUGAAGCCAGUCGUACUCACGGGUAAUCAACCUUUCUGGCGCGAUUAUGUGGGCGUGUUGGAGCCUAAUCAGCCCUCACGUCCUGAUAUUUGUUCCCCUUGGGUGUACUUGCUCGUGCGGUAGGUUAACAUCAAUUUUGGACGUCAUAAAAUGACCGGAGGAAUGUAGCUUCGAUCUCGUAUUGAAGUGUUAUAGCCUUUGGUAGAUGUGGUGAUCGAGACUGAGGAUUGCAACGAAUAUCCUUUGGGCUAUCUGUCUGAUCUCUGAAAGUCGCUUAGGUGCCGAAAGCUUGCUUACGGUCAUUUAAGUUUGACGUUCAAUAGGUUAGAACGGGUUAAAUUCGUUAAGGAUGUUGACGUAAUGGCUUUAAACGACC